This 479-nucleotide ribosomal RNA is filed under the name uncultured bacterium. RNAcentral describes it as "bacterial SSU rRNA". It matches the Rfam family "Bacterial small subunit ribosomal RNA", at positions 26 to 518 of the family's 1533-position model. The record is from RNAcentral.
AGGACGAACGCUGGCGGCGUGCCUAACACAUGCAAGUCGAACGGAGCUGAGGAGCUUGCUUCUCAGCUUAGUGGCGGACGGGUGAGUAACGCGUGAGUAACCUGCCUCCGAGAGUGGAAUAACGUUUUGAAAAGAACGCUAAUACCGCAUAAUAUUAUGAAGUCGCAUGGCUUUAUAAUCAAAGAUUAUAUCGCUCGGAGAUGGACUCGCGUCCGAUUAGUUAGUUGGUGAGGUAACGGCUCACCAAGACCGCGAUCGGUAGCCGGACUGAGAGGUUGAACGGCCACAUUGGGACUGAGACACGGCCCAGACUCCUACGGGAGGCAGCAGUGGGGGAUAUUGCGCAAUGGGGGCAAACCCCUGACGCAGCAACGCCGCGUGAAGGAUGAAGGUUUUCGGAUUGUAAACUUCUUUUAUCAGGGACGAAAUUUGACGGUACCUGAAGAAUAAGCUCCGGCUAACUACGUGCCAGCCGCCGC